This 2919-nucleotide ribosomal RNA is filed under the name Escherichia coli. RNAcentral's name for it is "partial 23S ribosomal RNA". It matches the Rfam family "Bacterial large subunit ribosomal RNA". The record is from RNAcentral. Lineage: Bacteria; Pseudomonadati; Pseudomonadota; Gammaproteobacteria; Enterobacterales; Enterobacteriaceae.
GGGUUGUGAGGUUAAGCGACUAAGCGUACACGGUGGAUGCCCUGGCAGUCAGAGGCGAUGAAGGACGUGCUAAUCUGCGAUAAGCGUCGGUAAGGUGAUAUGAACCGUUAUAACCGGCGAUUUCCGAAUGGGGAAACCCAGUGUGUUUCGACACACUAUCAUUAACUGAAUCCAUAGGUUAAUGAGGCGAACCGGGGGAACUGAAACAUCUAAGUACCCCGAGGAAAAGAAAUCAACCGAGAUUCCCCCAGUAGCGGCGAGCGAACGGGGAGCAGCCCAGAGCCUGAAUCAGUGUGUGUGUUAGUGGAAGCGUCUGGAAAGGCGCGCGAUACAGGGUGACAGCCCCGUACACAAAAAUGCACAUGCUGUGAGCUCGAUGAGUAGGGCGGGACACGUGGUAUCCUGUCUGAAUAUGGGGGGACCAUCCUCCAAGGCUAAAUACUCCUGACUGACCGAUAGUGAACCAGUACCGUGAGGGAAAGGCGAAAAGAACCCCGGCGAGGGGAGUGAAAAAGAACCUGAAACCGUGUACGUACAAGCAGUGGGAGCCUCUUUAUGGGGUGACUGCGUACCUUUUGUAUAAUGGGUCAGCGACUUAUAUUCUGUAGCAAGGUUAACCGAAUAGGGGAGCCGAAGGGAAACCGAGUCUUAACUGGGCGUUAAGUUGCAGGGUAUAGACCCGAAACCCGGUGAUCUAGCCAUGGGCAGGUUGAAGGUUGGGUAACACUAACUGGAGGACCGAACCGACUAAUGUUGAAAAAUUAGCGGAUGACUUGUGGCUGGGGGUGAAAGGCCAAUCAAACCGGGAGAUAGCUGGUUCUCCCCGAAAGCUAUUUAGGUAGCGCCUCGUGAAUUCAUCUCCGGGGGUAGAGCACUGUUUCGGCAAGGGGGUCAUCCCGACUUACCAACCCGAUGCAAACUGCGAAUACCGGAGAAUGUUAUCACGGGAGACACACGGCGGGUGCUAACGUCCGUCGUGAAGAGGGAAACAACCCAGACCGCCAGCUAAGGUCCCAAAGUCAUGGUUAAGUGGGAAACGAUGUGGGAAGGCCCAGACAGCCAGGAUGUUGGCUUAGAAGCAGCCAUCAUUUAAAGAAAGCGUAAUAGCUCACUGGUCGAGUCGGCCUGCGCGGAAGAUGUAACGGGGCUAAACCAUGCACCGAAGCUGCGGCAGCGACGCUUAUGCGUUGUUGGGUAGGGGAGCGUUCUGUAAGCCUGUGAAGGUGUGCUGUGAGGCAUGCUGGAGGUAUCAGAAGUGCGAAUGCUGACAUAAGUAACGAUAAAGCGGGUGAAAAGCCCGCUCGCCGGAAGACCAAGGGUUCCUGUCCAACGUUAAUCGGGGCAGGGUGAGUCGACCCCUAAGGCGAGGCCGAAAGGCGUAGUCGAUGGGAAACAGGUUAAUAUUCCUGUACUUGGUGUUACUGCGAAGGGGGGACGGAGAAGGCUAUGUUGGCCGGGCGACGGUUGUCCCGGUUUAAGCGUGUAGGCUGGUUUUCCAGGCAAAUCCGGAAAAUCAAGGCUGAGGCGUGAUGACGAGGCACUACGGUGCUGAAGCAACAAAUGCCCUGCUUCCAGGAAAAGCCUCUAAGCAUCAGGUAACAUCAAAUCGUACCCCAAACCGACACAGGUGGUCAGGUAGAGAAUACCAAGGCGCUUGAGAGAACUCGGGUGAAGGAACUAGGCAAAAUGGUGCCGUAACUUCGGGAGAAGGCACGCUGAUAUGUAGGUGAAGUCCCUCGCGGAUGGAGCUGAAAUCAGUCGAAGAUACCAGCUGGCUGCAACUGUUUAUUAAAAACACAGCACUGUGCAAACACGAAAGUGGACGUAUACGGUGUGACGCCUGCCCGGUGCCGGAAGGUUAAUUGAUGGGGUUAGCGGUAACGCGAAGCUCUUGAUCGAAGCCCCGGUAAACGGCGGCCGUAACUAUAACGGUCCUAAGGUAGCGAAAUUCCUUGUCGGGUAAGUUCCGACCUGCACGAAUGGCGUAAUGAUGGCCAGGCUGUCUCCACCCGAGACUCAGUGAAAUUGAACUCGCUGUGAAGAUGCAGUGUACCCGCGGCAAGACGGAAAGACCCCGUGAACCUUUACUAUAGCUUGACACUGAACAUUGAGCCUUGAUGUGUAGGAUAGGUGGGAGGCUUUGAAGUGUGGACGCCAGUCUGCAUGGAGCCGACCUUGAAAUACCACCCUUUAAUGUUUGAUGUUCUAACGUUGACCCGUAAUCCGGGUUGCGGACAGUGUCUGGUGGGUAGUUUGACUGGGGCGGUCUCCUCCUAAAGAGUAACGGAGGAGCACGAAGGUUGGCUAAUCCUGGUCGGACAUCAGGAGGUUAGUGCAAUGGCAUAAGCCAGCUUGACUGCGAGCGUGACGGCGCGAGCAGGUGCGAAAGCAGGUCAUAGUGAUCCGGUGGUUCUGAAUGGAAGGGCCAUCGCUCAACGGAUAAAAGGUACUCCGGGGAUAACAGGCUGAUACCGCCCAAGAGUUCAUAUCGACGGCGGUGUUUGGCACCUCGAUGUCGGCUCAUCACAUCCUGGGGCUGAAGUAGGUCCCAAGGGUAUGGCUGUUCGCCAUUUAAAGUGGUACGCGAGCUGGGUUUAGAACGUCGUGAGACAGUUCGGUCCCUAUCUGCCGUGGGCGCUGGAGAACUGAGGGGGGCUGCUCCUAGUACGAGAGGACCGGAGUGGACGCAUCACUGGUGUUCGGGUUGUCAUGCCAAUGGCACUGCCCGGUAGCUAAAUGCGGAAGAGAUAAGUGCUGAAAGCAUCUAAGCACGAAACUUGCCCCGAGAUGAGUUCUCCCUGACUCCUUGAGAGUCCUGAAGGAACGUUGAAGACGACGACGUUGAUAGGCCGGGUGUGUAAGCGCAGCGAUGCGUUGAGCUAACCGGUACUAAUGAACCGUGAGGCUUAACCUUACAAC